GCAGCAGUGGGGAAUAUUGGACAAUGGGCGAAAGCCUGAUCCAGCCAUGCCGCGUGUGUGAAGAAGGCCCUUUUGGUUGUAAAGCACUUUAAGCGAGGAGGGAGGCUACUUAGAUUAAUACUCUAGGAUAGUGGACGUUACUCGCAGAAUAAGCACCGGCUAACUCUGUGCCAGCAGCCGCGGUAAUACAGAGGGGUGCGAGCGUUAAUCGGAUUUACUGGGCGUAAAGCGUGCGUAGGCGGCUUUUUAAGUCGGAUGUGAAAUCCCUGAGCUUAACUUAGGAAUUGCAUUCGAUACUGGGAAGCUAGAGUAUGGGAGAGGAUGGUAGAAUUCCAGGUGUAGCGGUGAAAUGCGUAGAGAUCUGGAGGAAUACCGAUGGCGAAGGCAGCCAUCUGGCCUAAUACUGACGCUGAGGUACGAAAGCAUGGGGAGCAAACAGGAUUAGAUACCCUGGUAGUCCAUGCCGUAAACGAUGUCUACUAGCCGUUGGGGCCUUUGAGGCUUUAGUGGCGCAGCUAACGCGAUAAGUAGACCGCCUGGGGAGUACGGUCGCAAGACUAAAACUCAAAUGAAUUGACGGGGGCCCGCACAAGCGGUGGAGCAUGUGGUUUAAUUCGAUGCAACGCGAAGAACCUUACCUGGUCUUGACAUAGUAAGAACUUUCCAGAGAUGGAUUGGUGCCUUC
RNAcentral lists this ribosomal RNA (685 nucleotides) under Acinetobacter sp. RNAcentral's name for it is "bacterial SSU rRNA". It matches the Rfam family "Bacterial small subunit ribosomal RNA", at positions 348 to 1021 of the family's 1533-position model. The record is from RNAcentral. Lineage: Bacteria; Pseudomonadati; Pseudomonadota; Gammaproteobacteria; Moraxellales; Moraxellaceae.